GAAAAGAAACUAACAAGGAUUCCCCUAGUAACGGCGAGUGAAGCGGGAAGAGCUCAAAUUUGAAAUCUGGCAGUCUUCGAUUGUCCGAGUUGUAAUCUAUAGAGGCGUUUUCCGUGCCGGACCGUGUCCAAGUCUCCUGGAAAGGAGUAUCAAAGAGGGUGAUAAUCCCGUACUUAACACGACCACCGGUGCUCUGUGAUACGUCUUCUACGAGUCGAGUUGUUUGGGAAUGCAGCUCAAAAUGGGUGGUGAAUUCCAUCUAAAGCUAAAUAUUGGCGAGAGACCGAUAGCGAACAAGUACCGUGAGGGAAAGAUGAAAAGCACUUUGGAAAGAGAGUUAAACAGUACGUGAAAUUGUUGAAAGGGAAACGAUUGAAGUCAGUCGUGUUCUUUGGAUUCAGCCAGUUCUGCUGGUCUACUUCCUUGGAACGGGUCAACAUCAGUUUUGUCCGGUGGAUAAAGGUAGUAGGAAUGUGACUUCUCCGGAAGUGUUAUAGCCUAUUAUCACAUACACUGGGUGAGACUGAGGACUGCAGCUCGCCUUUAUGGCCGGCCUUCGGGCACGUUCGAGCUUAGGAUGUUGACAUAAUGGCUUUAAACGACCCGUCUU
This 610-nucleotide ribosomal RNA is filed under the name Trichosporon asahii. Its description in RNAcentral is "partial large subunit ribosomal RNA". It matches the Rfam family "Eukaryotic large subunit ribosomal RNA", at positions 56 to 655 of the family's 3401-position model. The record is from RNAcentral. Lineage: Eukaryota; Fungi; Basidiomycota; Tremellomycetes; Trichosporonales; Trichosporonaceae.